CAGCAGCCGCGGUAAUACGUAGGUCCCGAGCGUUGUCCGGAUUUAUUGGGCGUAAAGGGAGCGCAGGCGGUUUAGUAAGUCUGGAGUUAAAGGCAUUGGCUCAACCAAUGUAUGCUUUGGAAACUGUUUGACUUGAGUGCAGAAGGGGAGAGUGGAAUUCCAUGUGUAGCGGAGAAAUGCGUAGAUAUAUGGAGGAACACCGGUGGCGAAAGCGGCUCUCUGGCUUGUAACUGACGCUGAGGCUCGGAAGCGUGGGGAGCAAACAGGAUUAGAUACCCGCGUAGUCCCUGUCUCUUAUACA
RNAcentral lists this ribosomal RNA (301 nucleotides) under uncultured bacterium. RNAcentral's name for it is "partial 16S ribosomal RNA". It matches the Rfam family "Bacterial small subunit ribosomal RNA", at positions 509 to 808 of the family's 1533-position model. The record is from RNAcentral.